RNAcentral lists this ribosomal RNA (253 nucleotides) under uncultured bacterium. RNAcentral's name for it is "partial 16S ribosomal RNA". It matches the Rfam family "Bacterial small subunit ribosomal RNA", at positions 524 to 776 of the family's 1533-position model. The record is from RNAcentral.
UACAGAGGUGGCAAGCGUUGUUCGGAAUUACUGGGCGUAAAGGGCGCGUAGGCGGCCUUCUAAGUCAGACGUGAAAUCCCCCGGCUUAACCUGGGAACUGCGUCUGAUACUGGGAGGCUUGAGUAUGGGAGAGGGAUGUAGAAUUCCAGGUGUAGCGGUGAAAUGCGUAGAUAUCUGGAGGAAUACCGGUGGCGAAGGCGGCAUCCUGGACCAUAACUGACGCUGAGGCGCGAAAGCGUGGGGAGCGAUCCGG